RNAcentral lists this unclassified non-coding RNA (161 nucleotides) under soil metagenome. RNAcentral describes it as "partial contains 5.8S ribosomal RNA, internal transcribed spacer 2, and large subunit ribosomal RNA". The record is from RNAcentral.
AACGCACGAGACCUGCGGACCUGCGGAAGGAUCAUUAACAAGUCCGUGUGACGCGUGUCCGCUGCGUGCCGUGACGUCAAGUUGCGUGUGCGCAGCAGCAAUUUGUAGUCCUGACUGAUAGUCGCUUGAAACGGAGAAACAACUUUCAACAAUGGAUCUCU